This is a long non-coding RNA of Telopea speciosissima, 266 nucleotides long. RefSeq lists it as uncharacterized. The record is from RefSeq and is a predicted model, not a curated record. The transcript is spliced from 3 exons. Lineage: Eukaryota; Viridiplantae; Streptophyta; Magnoliopsida; Proteales; Proteaceae.
GAGCGGUGUAUCUGUUCAGAUGCUUUGGUGGGAGAUGUUGUUUGCAAUGGAGAGAGGUCGUUGCUUUCCAAAGUUGUUAACAUCUGUCCAUAUCGCUCUUGGCUGUGUCGAUGUUGCUAUCGCUGCUCUUGCAUUCUCUCAGUUGAUCAGGAUCCACAUUCGGAAUCAUCAAGUAGGCUGGACACGCCAAAAAGUAUUCCAUCUCAUGAUUGGCAUUUCCAACCUAGGUAAGGUAUUGUAUGUUGAACUAUGGAGAUGGCAUGUAA